Molecule: transfer RNA, 85 nt
Rfam family: tRNA
About the family: Transfer RNA (tRNA) molecules are approximately 80 nucleotides in length. Their secondary structure includes four short double-helical elements and three loops (D, anti-codon, and T loops).
GCGGGGGUGGCCGAGUGGUCAAAGGCGCAGGACUGAGGCUCCUGUGGGCGUAGGCCCUUCGCCGGUUCGAAUCCGGUCCCCCGCA